UACGAAGGGGGCAAGCGUUGUUCGGAAUUACUGGGCGUAAAGGGCGCGUAGGCGGCUUAUCAAGUCAGGCGUGAAAUUCCCGGGCUCAACCUGGGGGCUGCGCUCGAUACUGAUUGGCUUGAAUGCGGGAGAGGAUAGUGGAAUUCCCAGUGUAGAGGUGAAAUUCGUAGAUAUUGGGAAGAACACCGGUGGCGAAGGCGGCUAUCUGGCCCGUAAUUGACGCUGAGGCGCGAAAGCGUGGGGAGCAAACAGG
Molecule: ribosomal RNA, 253 nt
Filed under: uncultured bacterium
Lineage: Bacteria
Description: partial 16S ribosomal RNA
Rfam family: Bacterial small subunit ribosomal RNA
Source: RNAcentral